RNAcentral lists this ribosomal RNA (324 nucleotides) under uncultured eukaryote. RNAcentral's name for it is "partial 18S ribosomal RNA". It matches the Rfam family "Eukaryotic small subunit ribosomal RNA", at positions 1470 to 1796 of the family's 1831-position model. The record is from RNAcentral.
CCCUUAGAUGUUCUGGGCCGCACGCGCGCUACACUGAUGAAUUCAACGAGCACUAACCUGUGCAGAAAUGUUCGGGUAAUCUUGUGAAAUUUCAUCGUGAUGGGGAUUGAUUAUUGCAAUUAUUAAUCAUAAACGAGGAAUGCCUAGUAAGCGUGAGUCAUCAGCUCACGUUGAUUACGUCCCUGCCCUUUGUACACACCGCCCGUCGCUCCUACCGAUUGAAUGCUCAGGUGAGCCAUUCGGACUUUCAUCAUGCUGGUUUCCAGUUUUGAUGAAGGAAAGUCUUGCGAACCUUAUCAUUUAGAGGAAGGAGAAGUCGUAACA